RNAcentral lists this ribosomal RNA (1131 nucleotides) under Saitozyma aff. flava DSM 101939. Its description in RNAcentral is "eukaryotic LSU rRNA". The stretch from base 467 to 1131 matches the Rfam family "Eukaryotic large subunit ribosomal RNA", at positions 1 to 651 of the family's 3401-position model. Lineage: Eukaryota; Fungi; Basidiomycota; Tremellomycetes; Tremellales; Trimorphomycetaceae. The record is from RNAcentral.
GUUCGUAGUGACUGCGGAAGGAUCAUUAGUGAACGCCCUCACGGGCUUAACUAUCCAACCAACCUCUGUGAACCGUCGCCCUCGGGCGCUUUAUAACAAACUAUAACAGUCAUGAACGUAGUAUACAAAAACUAAACACAACUUUCAACAACGGAUCUCUUGGCUCUCGCAUCGAUGAAGAACGCAGCGAAAUGCGAUAAGUAAUGUGAAUUGCAGAAUUCAGUGAAUCAUCGAAUCUUUGAACGCACCUUGCGCCCUUUGGUAUUCCGAAGGGCAUGCCUGUUUGAGUGUCAUGUAGACUCAACCUCCCCGGUUUAUGAUCGGGACGGGUUGGAUAUGGGCGCUGCCGAUUGCCGGCUCGCCUUAAAUGUCUUAGCGGGCUCAGAAGCCCCGACCUAGCGUAAUAAGUUUCGCUGGCGAGGGUGCGGAUGACCGCUCACAACUGCCCUUGGGCACCUUUUGACUCUGGCCUCAAAUCAGGUAGGACUACCCGCUGAACUUAAGCAUAUCAAUAAGCGGAGGAAAAGAAACUAACAAGGAUUCCCCUAGUAGCGGCGAGCGAAGCGGGAAGAGCUCAAAUUUGUAAUCUGGCGUGCUCAGUGCGUCCGAGUUGUAAUCUAUAGAAACGUUUUCCGUGCCGGACCGUGUCCAAGUCCCUUGGAACAGGGUAUCAAAGAGGGUGACAAUCCCGUACUUGACACGACGACCGGUGCUCUGUGAUACGUUUUCUACGAGUCGAGUUGUUUGGGAAUGCAGCUCAAAAUGGGUGGUAAAUUCCAUCUAAAGCUAAAUAUAGGCGAGAGACCGAUAGCGAACAAGUACCGUGAGGGAAAGAUGAAAAGCACUUUGGAAAGAGAGUUAAACAGUAUGUGAAAUUGUUGAAAGGGAAACGAUUGAAGUCAGUCAUGUUCAUUGGAUUCAGCUGGUUCUGCCAGUGUAUUUCCUUUGAACGGGUCAACAUCAGUUUGAGCCGGCGGAUAAUGGCAGAGGGAAUGUGGCACCUCCCGGGUGUGUUAUAGCCCCUUGUCGCAUACGUCGGGCCCAGACUGAGGAAUGCAGCUCGCCUUUAUGGCCGGGGUUCGCCCACGUACGAGCUUAAGGAUGUUGGCAUAAUGGCCUUUAAACGACCCG